UUCAGAUUGCAGGCUGCAACUCGCCUGCAUGAAGUUGGAAUUGCUAGUAAUCGCGAAUCAGAAUGUCGCGGUGAAUACGUUCCCGGGCCUUGUACACACCGCCCGUCACACCAUGAGAGUCGAUAACACCCGAAGCCUGUGAGCUAACCGUAAGGAGGCAGCAGUCGAAGGUGGGGUUGAUGAUUGGGGUGAAGUCGUAACAAGGUACC
This 209-nucleotide ribosomal RNA is filed under the name uncultured bacterium. RNAcentral describes it as "partial 16S ribosomal RNA". It matches the Rfam family "Bacterial small subunit ribosomal RNA", at positions 1292 to 1500 of the family's 1533-position model. The record is from RNAcentral.